AGCAGCCGCGGUAAUUCCAGCUCCAAUAGCGUAUAUUUAAGUUGUUGCAGUUAAAAAGCCGUAGUUGGACUGUUACUUUGAAAAAAUUAGAGUGUUCAAAGCAGGCCUUUGCUCGAAUCGUUAGCAUGGAAUAAUAGAAUAGGACGUGCGGUCCUAUUUUGUUGGUUUCUAGGACCGCGUAAUGAUUAAUAGGGACAGUCGGGGGCAUCAGUAUUCAAUUGUCAGAGGUGAAAUUCUGGAUUUAUUGAAGACUAACUACUGCGAAAAGC
This 269-nucleotide ribosomal RNA is filed under the name uncultured Glomeromycotina. RNAcentral's name for it is "partial small subunit ribosomal RNA". It matches the Rfam family "Eukaryotic small subunit ribosomal RNA", at positions 569 to 952 of the family's 1831-position model. The record is from RNAcentral. Lineage: Eukaryota; Fungi; Glomeromycota.